This 714-nucleotide ribosomal RNA is filed under the name Tetradesmus bajacalifornicus. RNAcentral's name for it is "eukaryotic LSU rRNA". The stretch from base 261 to 414 matches the Rfam family "5.8S ribosomal RNA". The record is from RNAcentral. Lineage: Eukaryota; Viridiplantae; Chlorophyta; Chlorophyceae; Sphaeropleales; Scenedesmaceae.
AGGAGAAGUCGUAACAAGGUUUCCGUAGGUGAACCUGCGGAAGGAUCAUUGAAUUAUUAAAACCACAACGUGAACUCUGUUGUACCGUGCCUUUGCUGCCAGCAGGGCAAUCGGGCUAGUCUCGAUUGUAGCCUGCAGCUGGUGCGAGCAUUGCUGCCCGCAUCAGUGGCGCUCUGGCAUGCCUAUACACCAGGCUAACCACUGUCAAAACCAAACUCUGAAGUUUUGAUUGCUAGUAACUGGCAAUCCUAACCAAAGACAACUCUCAACAACGGAUAUCUUGGCUCUCGCAACGAUGAAGAACGCAGCGAAAUGCGAUACGUAGUGUGAAUUGCAGAAUUCCGUGAACCAUCGAAUCUUUGAACGCAUAUUGCGCUCGAGCCCUCGGGCAAGAGCAUGUCUGCCUCAGCGUCGGUUUACACCCUCACCCCUCUUUCCUUUUGGAUCGCAGGUCAGCUUUUCAGCUGGCCCUAGGGGUGGAUCUGGCUUUCCCAAUCCUUUCUGGGUUGGGUUGGCUGAAGUGUAGAGGCUUAAUCAAGGACCCGAUAUGGGCUUCAACUGGAUAGGUAGCAACGGCUUCUGCCGACUACACGAAGUUGUGGCUUGUGGACUUUGAUAGGAGCCAAGCAGGAAACGUGCUUGCACGUUCUAAACUUUCGACCUGAGCUCAGGCAAGGCUACCCGCUGAACUUAAGCAUAUCAAUAAGCGGAGGA